UACGUAGGCAGCAAGCGUUGUUCGGAAUUACUGGGCGUAAAGAGUGUGUAGGCGGUGCUCCAAGUCUGGUGUGAAAUCUCCCGGCUCAACCGGGAGGGUGCGCCGAAUACUGAGAGGCUAGAGUGUGGGAGAGGAAAGUGGAAUUCCUGGUGUAGCGGUGAAAUGCGUAGAUAUCAGGAGGAACACCGGUGGUGUAAACGGCUUUCUGGACCAUAACUGACGCUGAGGCACGAAAGCGUGGGUAGCAAACAGG
Molecule: ribosomal RNA, 253 nt
Filed under: uncultured bacterium
Lineage: Bacteria
Description: partial 16S ribosomal RNA
Rfam family: Bacterial small subunit ribosomal RNA
Source: RNAcentral